Molecule: non-coding RNA, 107 nt
Organism: Vigna angularis (adzuki bean)
Lineage: Eukaryota; Viridiplantae; Streptophyta; Magnoliopsida; Fabales; Fabaceae
Source: Rfam
AAUCCAUGAGUAGGGGUUUUUCUCAGUAGGCCUUUGAAUCUAUCCCAUGCUUGACCUAGAGUUUCAUCAGCAUCUUGUUGGAAAGAAGAGAUCUCUUGCUUUCCCUU